This 1008-nucleotide long non-coding RNA is filed under the name Pan troglodytes (chimpanzee). RNAcentral describes it as "long non-coding RNA NONPTRT005362". The record is from RNAcentral. Lineage: Eukaryota; Metazoa; Chordata; Mammalia; Primates; Hominidae.
GAAAAGUUAAUUCUCUCUAGGAGAGGGGGCUGCUAAGGAAAGAAAAGAACAUAUUAGCUAUAUUUUAGAGAAUAAAGAGUGAGGUUAGACAGGCAAAGUGGGGUAGGAUGGUGGAAGCUAUUCUUCACAGAUGAAACAGCAUGUCACUGAGGCAUGUUAGAACAUAUCAAGAUGCCAUUUUGGAAGGUCAGUUUCAAGGAGGUUAAACAUAAGCAAUAGGUACAGCAUUAGAGAGAGGUUUUUUUUUUUUUUUUUUUGCCAUUAGCCCCAGUCUUUAUUCCUCCCCACAUCCAUGCCUUUGGCAGGUAACUGCAGUCCCUCCCAUUAAUAGGUCAGUGUAUAUGUCCCAGCUUUUUGUUUUGCUACAUGAAUUGCCCUAAUGAAGAGAAUGAGGCUGAAGGGACAGUAUGCUAGCUCUGAGCUAAAUCUUAAGAAAUCUUGCCUAUUUCCUCUGUUGUUUUCUCUGCCAUUACCAUGGAAAGCAGAUGCCUAGGCUAACCUGCUGUUCCCAGGAGAAUGAGAGACAUGUGGAAGGGACUGGAGCUGAUUCACACAUCAACCCAAUUUUGAUUAGCAGAACCAUCACAGCUGACCCGUAGAUUCAUAAGAUUAAGUUAUUGUUUAAAGCUGCUAAUUUCUGGAAUGGUUUGUUAUGCAUCAUUGUUCUAGCAAUGGCAAACCAAAGUAGCUAUAGUAGUGAAUUUGGAAUUUCUUGUAGAUGACAGAAAAUGACAAAAGGUUAUAAUAAAUAGAUUGUUUCAGAAAGAUUGCUUCAACAACAGAAGAUAGAGAUGGGAAGAGAAUGGUGGGGGACGUGGUAGCAAAGAAGCUAUUCCAAUGAUCCAACCUCAAGAUCAUGCAAAUGUGAACUAAAGCAAUGGCAUCAGGAUGGAGCAGAGAAGAUGGACUGGAGAGAGUUUUAGGAGAUGGAGGAAGGUAGCCUGGGCCCAACUGAACUCACUGUGUAUUCAGAAAAUAACCCACAGUUGGGAAAUUCACAGUGCCAUU